This 226-nucleotide long non-coding RNA is filed under the name Bos taurus (domestic cattle). RNAcentral describes it as "long non-coding RNA NONBTAT024237". Lineage: Eukaryota; Metazoa; Chordata; Mammalia; Artiodactyla; Bovidae. The record is from RNAcentral.
CCAAGGGCUCAUCUCAUUUUGGAACCUACAUAACAUGUUUUUGUUUCACCCAUCUUGGACUGAGAAAUAUAAAAAGUGAUUCUAUACUGUUUGUGUGUCCAAUAAACACUGAAGGGCAUUUAAGAGAUCAGCUUUCAUUUUCAGGAAAAAAAACAAAAACUAUUUGCUUAAAUACUUCUGCACUGGGUGGAAAGGAGAGAGCAAAAGACUGUCAUUUUUUAAAAAG